UACGGAGGGGGCUAGCGUUGUUCGGAAUUACUGGGCGUAAAGCGCGCGUAGGCGGACCUGCAAGUCGGGGGUGAAAGCCCGAGGCUCAACCUCGGAACUGCCUUCGAUACUGCGGGUCUCGAGUCCGGGAGAGGUGAGUGGAAUUCCUAGUGUAGAGGUGAAAUUCGUAGAUAUUAGGAAGAACACCAGUGGCGAAGGCGGCUUUCUGGACGGUAACUGACGCUGAGACGCGAAAGCGUGGGGAGCAAACAGG
RNAcentral lists this ribosomal RNA (253 nucleotides) under uncultured bacterium. Its description in RNAcentral is "partial 16S ribosomal RNA". It matches the Rfam family "Bacterial small subunit ribosomal RNA", at positions 524 to 776 of the family's 1533-position model. The record is from RNAcentral.